This 478-nucleotide ribosomal RNA is filed under the name Craugastor decoratus. RNAcentral describes it as "partial small subunit ribosomal RNA". It matches the Rfam family "Bacterial small subunit ribosomal RNA", at positions 778 to 1495 of the family's 1533-position model. The record is from RNAcentral. Lineage: Eukaryota; Metazoa; Chordata; Amphibia; Anura; Craugastoridae.
AUAGAUACCCCACUAUGCUUAGUCGUAAACCUUAAUUUACACCAAAAUCGCCAGGGAACUACGAGCCACGCUUAAAACCCAAAGGACUUGACGGCACCUCACAUCCAACUAGAGGAGCCUGUCCUAUAAUCGAUAGUCCCCGUUCAACCUCACCCCUCCUAGCCUUUCAGUUUGUAUACUUCCGUAGUAAGCCUACCACAUGAGUGGUACUCAGUGGGCUAAUCGCUCAAUUCGCAUAAACAUCAGGUCAAGGUGCAGCAAAUGGAGGGGGAAGAGAUGGGCUACAUUCUCUAGCAUAGAGCAUACGAAUGACUGUGAUGAAACCCAGUCUGAAGGCGGAUUUAGAAGUAAAGAGAAAUUAGAGUGCUCUCUUUAAUACUGCACUAAGGUGUGUACACACCGCCCGUCACCCUCCUCGAAGCCUACAGAUCAGUAACUAACAACUAACAGCACAAGAGAGGAGGUAAGUCGUAACAAG